AUAAUUAGUGAACAUUUGUGUUUCUCUUAAUAUUAGGAACAACAAAACCAUAUCCUGCUGAUAUUGUAGUUCAGUUCAAGGAUGUAUAUGCACUGAUGGGCCAAAAUGUGACCUUAGAAUGUUUUGCACUUGGAAAUCCUGUUCCGGAUAUCCGAUGGCGGAAGGUUCUAGAACCAAUGCCAAGCACUGCUGAGAUUAGCACCUCUGGGGCUGUUCUUAAGAUCUUCAAUAUUCAGCUAGAAGAUGAAGGCAUCUAUGAAUGUGAGGCUGAGAACAUUAGAGGAAAGGA
Molecule: long non-coding RNA, 289 nt
Organism: Cercocebus atys (sooty mangabey)
Lineage: Eukaryota; Metazoa; Chordata; Mammalia; Primates; Cercopithecidae
Exons: 2
Source: RefSeq, a predicted model, not a curated record